GUGAGGAAUAUUGGUCAAUGGGCGGGAGCCUGAACCAGCCAAGUCGCGUGAGGGAAGACUGCCCUAUGGGUUGUAAACCUCUUUUGUCGGGGAGCAAAGCUGCCACGUGUGGCGGUUUGAGAGUACCCGAAGAAAAAGCAUCGGCUAACUCCGUGCCAGCAGCCGCGGUAAUACGGAGGAUGCGAGCGUUAUCCGGAUUUAUUGGGUUUAAAGGGUGCGCAGGCGGGACGCCAAGUCAGCGGUCAAAUUUCGGGGCUCAACCCCGACCUGCCGUUGAAACUGGCGUCCUCGAGUGGGCGAGAAGUAUGCGGAAUGCGUGGUGUAGCGGUGAAAUGCAUAGAUAUCACGCAGAACUCCGAUUGCGAAGGCAGCAUACCGGCGCUCAACUGACGCUGAAGCACGAAGGCGUGGGUAUCGAACAGG
RNAcentral lists this ribosomal RNA (423 nucleotides) under uncultured bacterium. RNAcentral's name for it is "bacterial SSU rRNA". It matches the Rfam family "Bacterial small subunit ribosomal RNA", at positions 354 to 776 of the family's 1533-position model. The record is from RNAcentral.